UUGGGCUUCGGGUAGUGGCGCACGGGUGCGUAACGCGUGGGAACCUGCCUUUAGGUUCGGAAUAACUCAGAGAAAUUUGAGCUAAUACCGGAUAAUGUCUUCGGACCAAAGAUUUAUCGCCUUUAGAUGGGCCCGCGUUAGAUUAGAUAGUUGGUGGGGUAACGGCCUACCAAGUCGACGAUCUAUAGCUGGUCUGAGAGGAUGAUCAGCCACACUGGGACUGAGACACGGCCCAGACUCCUACGGGAGGCAGCAGUGGGGAAUAUUGGACAAUGGGCGAAAGCCUGAUCCAGCAAUGCCGCGUGAGUGAUGAAGGCCUUAGGGUUGUAAAGCUCUUUUACCAGGGAUGAUAAUGACAGUACCUGGAGAAUAAGCUCCGGCUAACUCCGUGCCAGCAGCCGCGGUAAUACGGAGGGAGCUAGCGUUGUUCGGAAUUACUGGGCGUAAAGCGCGCGUAGGCGGUCUAUUAAGUCAGGGGUGAAAUCCCGGAGCUCAACUCCGGAACUGCCCUUGAAACUGGCAGACUAGAAUCUUGGAGAGGCGAGUGGAAUUCCGAGUGUAGAGGUGAAAUCCGUAGAUAUUCGGAAGAACACCAGUGGCGAAGGCGACUCGCUGGACAAGUAUUGACGCUGAGGUGCGAAAGCGUGGGG
RNAcentral lists this ribosomal RNA (650 nucleotides) under uncultured bacterium. RNAcentral's name for it is "bacterial SSU rRNA". It matches the Rfam family "Bacterial small subunit ribosomal RNA", at positions 80 to 766 of the family's 1533-position model. The record is from RNAcentral.